AUACGUAGGGGGCGAGCGUUGUCCGGAAUGAUUGGGCGUAAAGGGCGCGUAGGCGGCCCGGUAAGUCUGGAGUGAAAGUCCUGUUUUUAAGAUGGGAAUUGCUUUGGAUACUGUCGGGCUUGAGUGCAGGAGAGGUAAGUGGAAUUCCCAGUGUAGCGGUGAAAUGCGUAGAGAUUGGGAGGAACACCAGUGGCGAAGGCGACUUACUGGACUGUAACUGACGCUGAGGCGCGAAAGUGUGGGGAGCAAACAGGAUUAGAUACCCUGGUAGUCCACACUGUAAACGAUGAAUGCUAGGCGUAGGGGGUAUCGACCCCUUCUGUGCCGCAGUCAACACAAUAAGCAUUCCGCCUGGGGAGUACGGCCGCAAGGUUGAAACUCAAAUGAAUUGACGGGG
RNAcentral lists this ribosomal RNA (397 nucleotides) under uncultured bacterium. Its description in RNAcentral is "partial 16S ribosomal RNA". It matches the Rfam family "Bacterial small subunit ribosomal RNA", at positions 523 to 918 of the family's 1533-position model. The record is from RNAcentral.